GCCAGUGUGGUGUAGUGGUUAGAGCGUUGGACUAUGAUUGUGGAGAGCAGGGUUUGAAUCCCUGCUCAGCCA
Molecule: non-coding RNA, 72 nt
Organism: Phrynosoma platyrhinos (Desert horned lizard)
Lineage: Eukaryota; Metazoa; Chordata; Lepidosauria; Squamata; Phrynosomatidae
Source: the annotation of a GenBank genome assembly